Molecule: long non-coding RNA, 37853 nt
Filed under: Vitis vinifera (wine grape)
Lineage: Eukaryota; Viridiplantae; Streptophyta; Magnoliopsida; Vitales; Vitaceae
Description: long non-coding RNA (VVIN_LNC005879)
Source: RNAcentral
AAUUAUCACCUAUCUUCAUACUUACUAAUUUUGAUGCAAUGAAUUUGUUUUUGAAAGAAAAAAAUGGUUCUAGAGGUUUAGGUUUUGGUUUCACAUAUGGUGAAGAGAGCUCCCAUUGAGAGUUUUUUUUUUUUUUUUUUUUUGGUUUUUUUCCUUUUAUUAGAAUUGUUCUCACAAGAAUGCUAUGAUCACAGAUUUAUAGGCUGAGAAGAGGGUGGAAAGGGCCAUUGAAACCCUUAUUUUUUGUAGAGUUCUCAAGUCCGGAAGCUAAAGGCAAUGGAGUGUUCCACAAAAGCAUUUAGGUAGAGAUAGUGAAUAAGGAGGAUAGGUUAAUGUAGAGUUGUACUAAAAAUGGUUGUUUUUUCUAUUAAAUCAUUUUAUAUCUUUAUCUCCGAGUGGCUCAAGGUCCUUUUCUCCGAAGAAAAUGUAGAGCUUAUAGCAUUGCUAAUGACUAGUUCUUUACUUAACUAGAAUAUUUUGAUGCCUAACCAGCUUAUGAGGAGAGGUUGGCUCCUAAUCAAUGAAUAGAUGUUAUUUGUGCAAGUGCAAGUGCACGGAGUCAACCAACUAUAUUCAUUGAAGGUUUUCGAUAUAUUAUUGUUCAAAAUUGUAUGGGUGCUUUCAAGAAUGAUUUAAGGAUUUUUUACUUAGUCAGCAUAGUCACUCUGGGGAUAGGUGAUGCUGAAAAGAAUGGGAGAUGACCCCUUGUUUUUGUUUUGGAGCAUGUAGAAAGAAAAAUGAAAGGAUGUUUGAUGAUAAUAAGAGCUUUGCUCAAACUUUGAAAAAGUCUCCCAAAAAAUCUUUGUUUGUACUAUAAUGGAUUCUUUGGUGAUGGAGAAUCUCACUUUUCUAGAGUUCAUUGAUUGAUUGGGGAAAGUAUAGGCUUACAACUUAGGCAUGCUAGGUUAAGGUCCUUUUAUCGGGUGCCAAACAAUAAAAAGGGAAGAAAAUCUUUGCAUCCAAGUAUCUAAUCUUAUAGAUGUUCUAGAAUUCAUUGAUUGUUUGGGGAAUGCACAAGCUAUAGCUUGGUGAUAAGCUAUCGUCAGGGCCUCAGGCCUGUCCCAAGCUAUAGCCUAUGCUUUCCCGAACCAAUCAAUGAACUCUAAAAUAUAUAUGUAAGGUUAGAUACUUGGAUGCAAAGAUUCUCUUCCCUCCAUUUCUCUAUGUAGUCAUUACACUAUAAAAUUACUUAUUUAACCUUAUGGUGGACCUCCUUGCAAAACAAUAAAAUUAAAAUAUAUUUAAAAUAUUAUCAAUGAGAAAUUUUUAUUUUUCACACGAUUUUCAAUGACAUUCUUUAUUCAACCUCCAUGUAAAUGAAGAUCUCAAUUAUUGCAUAAUAAUUUCAAAAUUUUUGUUUGUUGAUUUUAUAAUUUUAUAUUAAGAAUAAAAUUAAUAGUACACACGUUUAUGCACAAUACCAUGAUACUAAAACUUGGAAAGUUAACUUAACUUGACCAAGUGGACUCAAUUGAACUGUGAAUAUGGUUAGAGUGUUUUCCUUCAAUUGUCCUAGACCAAACACGCUUGUUCUACCUACAAGGACAACCCUCCUCCCCCUAUGUUUCUAAAAGUUUCACAAACUUGUUAUAGUUGAUAACUUACUAAAUGGAUUUGUCAAAUGUUUUCAACCUAGACCUAAAUAGAACAAUGCCAUGAAAUUCUCACAAGCAAGACCAUUUCCAUGAGUUUUUUUUUUCUUUUUGGGAAAUGAAAAUGAGCAAUUUAGAGACUAAUAUGAUUAAAAUUAGAAAGAAAAAUAAACAAAAAGUGCAUCACCUUUUUCUUUAUAGUUAAUUUAAUUUUAAAACCUAAGAGCUUAAGAAAUUGAGCAUCAGGUGUAUAUCAAGCUAAAAUUGGCCAAAAUUAAAAUUUUGAGGAUAUAAAAUUCACUUAAGAUUGAAAAGAGAACUUCAAAUAUCAAAUCUAGUCAAUAAAUGUUUAACAAUUUCAUUUCUAAUAGGAAUUUAUAUUUGGCCUCAUGAAAAACAUUAUUCAACUAAUUCAAUGUCCAAAUUUUCAAGUAGGUAUUCACACUAUUAAAGUCAAAACAAUUACUUGUACAUUUCAAAACAUAUACCCUGUUACCCACAACAACCCCCCAUUCCAAAAGGAAAAGGGUUUCUUUUUAGGGGCCCACUCUCAUUCAAAGGGACUUAAAAUCAAAAUCACCUAUUCACUAAGAUGCAUAUAAAUGUAAGGGCAUGGACUUUCCAAUACCUAAUAUAGAAUGGGUCAUCCACCAAUAAAUAUAAGAUUCAAUGGCUAAUUAAAAACUUUAAGAUAUUGCUUUUCCUGCUCAAAAUCUUUGAGGUUUGGAUGGAAAUAACUCCAUUUUCUCAAGUAGUUCAAUAGUUUCAACGUGCGAAGCAUGAUGAGGAAAACCACCAAGUUGGUGAAUGUGACUCUAAGGCCUUGAGGUUCAUGAGAAUAAGUAAUGUGAAUAGAUUAUCCAUGCUUAGAAUAGAGAAAUCUAGGAAUCAAUUAUUCUCAUUUUGGUACUUGGAAACAAUAUAAAUCAAAGUUAUAAGACAGUUUACCCUAAGGUGCAGCUUAGCAAUAGUACCCUCUCACAAUGAACUAGAGGUGGCAAUGAACCAAAGGUCCAAAGUUUGAGUCUUCCCCAUAUUUAAGUAGUGUAGAAUAGAGGGGCAAGCCCAUAUUGUCCCAAGUAUGCUUUGCAAGCAAGUAGAAUGUCCUGAUUUCCAUUCCUACACAAACUAAAUACUAAAAUGGGAAUGAAAAAUAUUCAAAUUAAACCCACACAAAAUUUCAAAUAAUAUUCUUCAAAUUAAUACACAUACAUAUGUAUGGUAUACAACAAACUUUCAAAAAAUCAUAGAAAGAAAAAUAUCAUAUUAUAAUAAAAUCAUAACAUUUACAAAGUCUAUUUAUUAAAAAAUCUUUAAUUUUAAAAAAUCAACCACCAUUGUAAUAACUAAUACUCAAAAUAUGUAUAAAAUUAUAAAAUAAGAACAUUAUAAUAUCCAUAAUAAAUCAAAGAAAAUCAACUCUUAUUUUGAGUUUGAAAUGCCUAUAUUUUGGAAAAGGAAAAAGUGAAAAAACAAAGAAUAAAAAUAGAGUUUCUGCCUACAUAUAUACACAUGCACAUAUAUUUUAGAAAACUUGUAGAAUAGACUAUCCAACAAAGGUUAAAAACCUAGGAUUUUAGAGAUUAUUAUUCAUUUCACAAACAUUUAAACCUGUUUUAUCAAAAUAGUAACAACAACAACAAUGAUAAUAUUGUUAUUUUAUAGACAAACAAAAAUAUAUUACUAGUGCCUAACAAAAAAUGACAUACUAAGAUGCACGAUAGUAUAUAAAGGUUGUCAAAUGACAUAGAAAAAGACGAGAUAAAAAAUCACUCCCUUAUCAAGCAAUACAAAACCACUCAAUUAAAUUAAUAUAUACAUCAAAUCCUCAUCUAUAAACAUCCUAGCCUAGAGUAAAAAAAAAACACAAAAAUGAAUUUUUGGUAGCUUGAUUCAAUAUUUUCAAAUUUCAAACAAUAUGUAAUUUCUUUUCUUUCAAAUGGUCCAAAAUAAGUACUAUAUAUCAGUCUUCCACUUUUUUUUCCGUUUUUUCACCACAAAUAGGCCCUUGCUAACUUAGAAGGACUUUUGUAUCCAUAACAGGCAACAUCCACUCCAUGUAAAACAAAGAAAAAAUCAAAUAGCACCUCUGAUACUUGACCCUUCAAUAUCACCGAUCAUACCCGUGUCAACACAACAUGAAAUGAGUGAGUAUGGGAUUUUUGUCAAAUACUCCUAUUUUAUUUUGGGUAUGGCUAUUUGAUUUUUUCAAACAAAUUUUUUGGUAUUUUGAUUAAACAUUUCCAAAUUAUCAAACAAUAAGUAUUUUUUUCCUUUCAAAUGGUCCAAAAUAAGCAUAAUAUAUCAGCUUCCACACAUUUUUCUCUUUCUUCGUGACAAAAAGGCCCUUGCUAACUUAGAAGGGCCUCUGUAACCAUAUAAGGCAACAUCUACUCCAUAUAAAACAAAGAAAAAAAAUAAAUGGCACCUAUGAUACUCGGAUCCUUCAAUUUCACCAACGUACCUGUGUUAAUACAACAUGACAUGAAUGUAGGCAUGGGAUCAUUGUUGAAUACUCAUUUAUUUUGUCAUUGAUAUAUUUUUAUUCUUUCAACUUUCUUAGUAAUAGUUACAUUAGAGAAAAAGUAAAGUUAGCUAAAAAGUGAUUUUUUUAAAGAAUAUAUACAAAUAAGAGGGAAAAAAUUAGAGAAAAAUAUGAGAGUUUUUAAAAAGAAUAUCUUUACUUCCAAUUUAUUUUUAAUUGAUUUUUCUCUUAUCAUGUCGUGUCCUAGUACCCGUCACCGUUUUUUUAUCUUUUUUAGUCAAGUCCUUAUAUCCUAAAAUUUGAGUUGUGAAGGAUUCAACGCUUAAGACAUAUUACCGCAUUUGACACUCAUACCCAAACACAUGCAACAUAGAAACGACAAACUGUCCAUCUUUUAGCACAAUGAAAGAAGAUAUGAUCAGCUAAUUGUUUUCUCACUCACUCUUCCAAAGAUAACAUUUAUGACGAUGAUGAUAACGUUUAUUCUAAAAAAAUAUCAAAUUGAGAUUCCUUUAAGAUAUUGGAGAAAAGGUUGAAAGUCUACUAAAAUUCAUCAAAUUCUUUCAAUAAUAGAUGGUUGUUUACAAAUUUUUUUAUUAUUUCACAUUCUUAUAUUUCAUAAUAUCAAAUUUUUAAUAUAAUUGUAUUUAUAAAUAGAUGUGAUGAUGAUUGAAUUUACUUAGGAAAGAUAAAGUUGCAUUUCAUAUUAUUCAUUGAUUUUAUCUUCUUCAAAGAUGGCAUUGGAAUUAAUUUACCUUAUAAAGAGAUGAAGUUGUAAUUAAUUUUGUAUGUUCUUCUAAUUUGAGAAAAUACGCUCAUCAUUUUAAAUUUAUAUAAAAGUAUUACCUAGCAAGGGUUUUCACAAAACCCAUGUCCUAGAUGGGUUUCUAACCCAGCUAUUUUAUGGGACUCUAAACCCAUUAGAUCUCCAAAACAAAUGAAUGACCAAGCCUUGGAGUAGGCAGAAUGUGAUGGAAUACCAUCCCCAAGACUCCAUCCUUGAAUCAAACAUCACCUUGAGUCCUUCCAUCCAAAAUUACCUCUUAAUCUAGACAAUCGCGCAGAAUAGGAUCUUAAGCAUUGAAAAGCUUAAUAUAAGACAGUUAGGGAAUCCAGACUGGAAACUACUAGCUUCAGCUCUGAUUAUUCACCAGAUGACUUCCUUCUCCAUUGCCAAUUUGAGCAUGAAAACUCAACCCCUUGUUUGUGCAUACUUUGUGGUUUCUUAAUUGUUUCCAGAUUCUCACUCCGACCUUCGUUCAGAUUGGCACAUUAAGGCUUUUGGUCCUAACAAUAAGAUGCUAAGAAAGCUAACUCCUUUCCAUGAAAGGGAAUUUGCAUAAAAAAAGAAAAAAGAAAAAAAAAAGAUCUAAAUUGUUCACUGUCAAGAAAAAAGGCUAGGCUGUUAUUUCUGGAGUGGGUUGGUAAUUUUCAGGGGUGAUAAAAGUAGGUUAGGCAUUAUAUUUAAAUAUUCAAUUGUCUCAGGUUGUUUGUGAGCUCAUUUCAGGCUUGCAGUUUGUUUUGGGUCCCAUCUACCUUUGUUAACUUGUUUAAAUUUCAGGGUUUCCUCGUCUCCCCUCACCCUUAUUUAAUCUAAUUAAUAAAAUUGCUACUUAGGAAAAAUCAGUUUCUAUUUCUUAGUUAUACAGAACCACCAUUUAGUGAGAAGCUAUUUUCUAAUUCUCAAAAACUAAAAUUUCCUACUAAAGAUAUGCCACAAAAUGAACCUAAGCCACUCUCAAAACAUUUGUGCAUGAACAGUACCCCAAUUUAAGAAUUCAAUAUAAUGGGUGCACAGCACCAAUCUGAAUGGCAAGCUUAUGGUGCAUUUUGUAAUUCCUCCAUCCUUAACUGCUCUUUGUGGCUGAAUGCAUUUCUGGAAAACAGGCCUUCCACAGCUCACACAUAUCAACAUCACAACUGUGGACCAAUCAAUGAACCUCCAGAGCACUUGAUUUUGGAAUAUCGCAGCCCCCAAACAAAAAAUGAAAUGGAAAGGAAAACUACAAAAAAGGACAACUAUCACAAGUACAGCAGUUUGUUGCUGGACCACUCAGUGAAUGUUAAAAUACAACUCACAGUAAAUUGUACAGGCUAACAGAUUGAUACACUUGGAGAGGGGGAGAGAGAGAGAGAACUUGCUUUCCAACAAGGGAAGUAGGUUUCAGGCCUUUCUAGUUUUGAACAAUGCACACAUUUUUCCUCAAUUGAAAGAAUAUAAUAUCAUAUCAGAUUAUAUAGUGUGUUAAACAAGACUAAGUACAAUACUGUCCUAUUAACAAAAAGUACAGCAUACCUGUGCUAUAGAUGUAAAGCACUCUAGCAGUGGAAAGAGGUCUUUGUCUGAAUUGGAAACUAGCUGCCACUUUGCAAUUAAUGGAGGCAUCAGAAUAUCAAGGUAUCUGGACUGUGUAUAGAAUCAAAAGAUGGGCGUUAGUAGCUUGUGUCCUGAUCGUGAAGAACAAAAACACCAAGCAUUCUGUCCCCCUCUGAUUUCCACAUCAAGGAGCACCAAAGGAAAGAAAAACAAACACCAACUCAUGCCCAAAAAUAAGAAGGCUUACCUGAUUCAGUUCUCCUCCAACAGCAUCUGCUAAAGUGCCUAUAGCAUCAUAUAAAAUUCGGAGGUUCCUUUUCUAAAUAUGAGCAUACAAAGUUCAAUUAGGGAAUAUAAAAUACUAAAUGAUCAUAACAUGGUAUCAUCAGGAAAACAAAUGAUUCAAAAUAUACUAGUCAAUUGGACCUUUCCAAGUCUAUUGGAAAUCAAGAAAAUACUAAUAGGACUGAAAAAAAAACCUGAUAUCUCCCAAAAGCACAUAAAAGGUGUUGUAAAAUGAUUGCUACAUGUGGUGUCAACUCUUCUGCAGCCUCCUGCCAUCAUUAAGGAACCUAUGAAUUCUACAUUGGUAUGAAUCAUAUUUCUUAUGAUUGAAGAGUACUGAAACAGGAGAAACCUCUUCAAGAGUAGCAAAAGCUGAACAUGCAGCUUCUUGUACCCUCUUGUUAGUGUCUAAGACUCUUUGUAGAAGACCCACGAGGACCCGGUUGAACUGAUCAUAGCCUUUUUGAUGACCAACACCCUGAAAAGGCAUGAAACAAAUUCCAAGAUCUUUGAUGAACAAUUUAUGGAACAGUGGUUAGAUGGGAAAAUGAGUUCUAAACAACUCCAUGAAAAGAAAUGAACUGCAAUAUAUGAUUAAACUUCAACUACAGCUUCUCUUUUUCUUUUAUGUGAGAAAGGCCAAGAUACAAAUUGAAAUAGCAUAUACUGGAAGCAAGAUGUAGACGAAAGUAGUUGAGUGCUAGUUCAGGCUCCAGAUAAUAAUAUAUCUCACUGGAUGUAUCUCACUUCAUCCAGUUCAUGUCUUUAACUUGAAAAUAGCUAAUAACACAGAGAGGAUAUUUUAGAAAAAAAAAAGUGAAAAGAAAAGAAGCAGAGGGAGAAGACAACAGAAAACCACCCAUGUUUGAGAUCAAUUAGGAACAAAUGGAAUUCUUUCUAAGAUAUAGAAGUUAUAACUCCUUAGAACCAUGUACCAAUGUUAAUUCCUACUUAAGUAAAUCCAUGUUCUUCUAUAGAUGUAUUCAUAAACGCGUGAAUUCUACCUCAAGAUCAAAAGUACCAACCCUAAAACAACAAUAUAAAAUAGAACAACUUGUUCAGGAAAGGUUUUAAUGUUGAAGACUAUUACAGCUGUAUAUCCUCCACGGCUGUAUAUUACAUCUGUAAUACAUAAUUUUGUGUGUAUAAUAGUGUAUGUAUAUAUAUAUUAUCAAAAACAAAUGUAUGUAUUAAUUGAGAAUAAACAAAACAUGAGAAGGAUGAGAAAUCCUUCCUAUGAUUUACAAACCUCAUCAAAAAGAUCUAAGUAAACCUCCACUAUACAAGGAGGGCUAUAUAAAGGUACAAAAAGCCUACACAGGUAUAACAACUCCUCACCCUAUAGACCCAACCCUAGUGUGUACAUAUUAAAAGUCAACUAAGUUGAAUUACAUUUAACAGAUAAAGAUUAAAAAUGUUUGUACGGUAAGCCCAAAAAGAAACAUAGAAAUGAAGCAAAUCCCACAUCAUCUUUGGUGUCUUCCAAGUGUCCUUGAAAAUCCUAGCAUUCCUCUCUCUCCACACAAUCUACAACAAAGUUGUGGAUCUGAGAUCCUGCUUGUUUGACUCUUUUUUAGCACUAGAGCAAUGAAGGUAGCAUUCAUGCUUUGCUUAAUAAUCCCAUUAUUGUGAAACUCAAAGAACACUCUUAAAAGAUCAGCUUUAAUCGUCUCCCAACACUCUUGAUAAAAUCCAAUGGUGAAACCAUUUAGCCCAAGGGUCUUUUCCUUGUUUAAAUGCAACAUAGCAUUGUGAAUCUCUUCUUCCGAAAAAAAAUGAUCCAACCACUCGACACUAUCUGCUGAAAUAGGAGACCAAUCCAAAUCUUCAAUCCUCCAAGAACCACCUGAAGGCUUGGAGAAUAACUUCCCAAAAUAAUGCUUAAUCUCCUUUAAAAUGCUUUCAAUGUUAUCUAAGACUACCCCAUCUUUAGACACCAAAGACUUAAUGAACUUCCUAUUCCACCUACUAUUGGCCACCUUAUGAAAAAAUUUAGAAUUACAAUCCUCUUCUCUUAUCCAUUUGACCCUAGUUUUUUUACCUCUAAAACACCUCUUCCUUUAGCAACGCCUCUUCCAAUUCUCCCUUCCUUAAAGUCUUCCUUGCUGCUAGUUCAAGAGUAAAAAUCCUUUUUUGUUCCUUCUCAUCCAAACCCACAAUGCCCAAACAAAUAUUUUUCUUUUAAGUCUCCAAAAGACACUUUUUUUUUUUUUUUUUUUGAUAAAUGAGCACAAAAUAUAUUAAAGGGCGAAAAGCCACAUAGCAUACAGGUAGUAUACAUAGCAACCUAAAAACAAAAAACACAUGAACAAUCAACCUCACCAGCCCUUAAGGAGCCGCUAGCCACUCCAAAAAGCCUAAAAGCGAAGAUGACUCAUCUCCCAUAUACACCCUAGCCCAACUCCACAAAUUACGUACAAAAGAAUUUUUGAGUUUUUGUCUAGCUAAAGAGCCCCCCCUAAAAAGCUAAUCUAUUUCUUUCCUUCCAUACCAUCCAAAAAAUACACAACGGGAUGGAGUUCCAAAUCUUUUUCCUCUUUUUUCCCACAAAAGGGCCCCUCCAACUAAAUAACACUUCUUUGACUGUCUCUGGGAACACCCACUGAGCCCCAAACAAGGCAAGGAUUUUCCUCUUCACAGCCACACAAAAGCAACGAUCAGGGAGGUGCCACCCCCGUUUUUGGAGCCUAUCCAAAGUGAGGAUCUUCUCCCACGUGGCCUCCCAAGCAAAAAAAGCAACUUUAGUUGGAACCUUAUCCACCCAAAUGCUCUUGUUGAAUAUAAUGUAUUUAUAGUAUAUUAUCUUUCCUUGUUAAUAUAGGUCACAUGUAUGGUAGUUAGGACUUCUAGCCUUGUAUAUAUAUAUCUCUCAAUUGUAAGUAAAAAACAUAUGAAUGAGAAUUAAGAUUUUUCUCAUUUUUCUCUCUUUUAACAUGGUAUUAGAGCCAAAGGAGAAAACCUAAUUUUUUUUUUUCGGUUUAGCCGUGUAAUCAAUUCCGGCGAACCGUCCAGUGACCGUGUUUCACUCCGGUCCCCUCAUUUUCUUCCCGAACCACUCCGGACAACCUCAUCGCCGUCGGAUCUCCACCACGCCGGCAACCUUUUCCGGCGAACUUUCCGGCGACGUCUUUUUCCGACACCGACCACACCAAGAGGAGUGCCUGGAGGAGAUCUCCAACUUCUUCAAAAGCAUCAGAGCCAGAAAACCCUCCACGCGCACUUCUCCGGGCAGCGACUGAAUCUCACACGCCGGCGCGUGAGGGCGCGUGAGACAUUUUCCGGCGACGCGCCUCCUUUUCCAGCCUCGCCUGACGCCGACCAGCAUCCCUACCUACCUGGUUCUCCCAUCCGAGCCCUGCACGUACCUCUUUUGGGGAUUUUUGUCUCCGUCAGCCUUCCAAACAGCCUUUCCGGCGAAGUUCCGGCUACUUUUUCUCCACCCCAAUCCCUGCACGUGCCUUGGGAAGUGUUCUUCUACCCUUCUGGUGGUACCACGUCGUGAUUUGAGGCCGUCUCCCUUUUUCGGUGGUGCCACGCCGCAAUCUGCAGCCGUAUUAGGGCUCUCUUCGAUCCAAAUACGUGAAUAUGACCACCAAAAAUCAGAUCUUUACCUCUGUUAUCUCUGGAUCUCCUAUGAUUACCUCAGAGAAAUUGGUUGGUAGUGAGAAUUAUCGCUCUUGGUCUGCCUCUGUUGAACUUUGGUUUAUGGGUCAAGGAUAUGAGGAUCACUUGGUUACCUAGGAGGCAGAUAUCCCUGAGGUUGACCGCGUACAGUGGAGGAAGAUAGAUGCACAGUUAUGUAGUGUAUUAUGGCAAUCGGUUGAUCCCAGGAUUCUUCUUCAUCUUCAGGCCUAUAAAACUUGUUUUAAAUUUUGGACUCAGGCCAAAGGAUUAUACACGAAUGAUAUCCAGCGUCUUUAUAAGGUGGCUUCUGCUAUUGUCCAUCUCAGCCAACAGGACUUGGAUCUAUCUACUUAUAUUGGUCAGAUUGCCUCUCUUAAGGAGGAGUUCUUGACUGUGAUGCCUCUUACUCCUGAUGUUGGGGCUCAACAAAUACAGCUUGACAAGUUCUUCAUGGUCCUUACUCUUAUUGGCCUCCGUCCGGAUCUUGAGUCUAUUCGUAAUCAGAUUCUUGGAAGUUCAUCAGUUCCGUCCUUGGAUGAUGUGUUUGCUCGCCUCCUCCGUAUCUCGUCCACUCAGACUUUGCCAUCUGAUAGCGCUUCAGAUUCUUCUGUGUUAGUUUCUCAAACUACCUCUCGAGGAGGACGCAGUGGUACCCGAGAUAGAGGCCAACGUCCUCAUUGCACCUAUUGCAAUAAACUUGGCCACACUCGCGAUCGUUGCUAUCAGUUACAUGGAAGACCUCCUCGCACUGCCCAUAUGGCCCAGUCCUCUGAUUCUCCGCUGCCUCAGCCUCCGAGCUCCUCCGCAUCUCAGACAUCUCAGGCUUCUAUUGCCUCUGUUGCCCAGCCUGGUAAUGCCUCUGCCUGUCUUACCCACACAUCUUCUCUUGAACCCUGGAUUCUAGAUUCUGGAGCAUCUGAUCACCUAUCUGGUAAUAAGGAUCUUUUCUCCUCUAUUACUACUACCUCUGAUUUACCUACUGUUACCUUAGCUAAUGGUUCUCAAACUGUGGCUAAAGGUAUUGGUUUGGCCCUUCCUUUGCCUUCUCUACCUCUCACUUGUGUCCUUUAUACUCCUGAAUGUCCUUUUAAUCUUAUUUCCAUCAGCAAAAUCACUCGUAAUCUUAAUUGCUCUAUUACCUUUUCUGAUAAAUUUGUGACCUUGCAGGACCGGAGUACGGGGAAGACGAUUGGCAUAGGACGUGAGUCUCAAGGCCUCUAUCACCUCACCUCAAAUUCAUCUCCUGCAGUUUGCAUUUCCACUAAUGCUCCUCUCCUCAUUCACAAUCAUCUGGGCCACCCUAGUCUCUCCAAGUUCCAGAAGAUGGUUCCUCGUUUUUCCACUUUGUCGUCGCUUCCGAGUGAGUCAUGUCAGCUUGGGAAACAUACUCGUGUCUCGUUCCCAAAGCGUUUGAAUAAUCGGGCAAAGUCUCCUUUUGAGCUUGUCCACACUGAUGUUUGGGGUCCUUGUCGGACUGCGUCUACUUUAGGAUUUCAGUAUUUUGUCACUUUCAUUGAUGACUAUUUUCGAUGUACUUGGUUAUUUUUAAUGAAAAAUCGAGCUGAGUUAUUCUCUAUUUUCCAGAAAUUUUAUACUGAAAUCCAAACCCAGUUCAAUAUUUCUAUUCGUAUGUUACGCAGUAACAAUGCCAGGGAAUAUUUUUCAACCCAAUUUACUUCGUUUAUGUCUCAUCAUGGAAUUCUUCAUCAGUCUUCUUGUGCUCAUACUCCUCAACAAAAUGGGGUAGCUGAACGCAAGAAUCGACAUCUUGUUGAGACAACUCGUACUCUCCUCCUCCAUAGUCACGUUCCUUUUCGUUUUUGGGGGGACGCUGUUCUUACCGCUUGUUAUUUGAUUAAUCGUAUGCCCUCCUCUGUCUUACACGAUCAGAUUCCUCACUCCCUUCUCUUCCCUGACCAACCACUUUAUUUCCUUCCUCCUCGUGUCUUUGGUUGUACUUGCUUCGUUCAUAUUCUCACUCCUGGACAGGACAAGCUUUCCGCCAAAGCCAUGAAGUGCCUCUUCUUGGGAUAUUCCAGACUUCAGAAGGGUUAUCGUUGUUAUUCCCUUGAGACUCAUAGAUACUUUAUCUCCGCUGAUGUCACCUUCUUUGAGGACUCACCAUUCUUUUCCACCACUUCUGAGUCUCUUCCUGUUUCUGAAGUUUUGCCCAUUCCCAUUGUCUCCCCACCUGAUGCUAUGCCCCCUCGACCACUUCAGGUUUAUCAUCGUCGCCCUCGUGUCGUUGCUCCUCUCCCUUUUCCUGAGGCACCUGCUGACUCACUUCCUAUCCCUUCGGCUUCACCUGCCCCGGCUCUGCCUUCUCCUAAUGACUUACCCAUUGCUGUUCGGAAAAGUACUCGCUCUACUCGUAAUCCUCAUCCUAUUUACAAUUUUUUGAGUUAUCAUCGCUUAUCUUCACCCUAUUGUGCUUUUGUUUCUGCUAUAUCCUCUGUUUCUCUUCCAAAGAGCACCCAUGAAGCUCUUUCCCAUCCAGGCUGGCGACAGGCAAUGGUGGAUGAAAUGGCUGCUCUGCACUCUAAUGGCACUUGGGAUCUUGUUGUUUUACCCUCUGGUAAAUCUACAGUUGGUUGUCGUUGGGUCUAUGUCGUUAAGGUUGGUCCUGAUGGUCAGGUUGAUCGCCUUAAGGCCCGCUUAGUUGCUAAAGGCUAUACUCAAGUUUAUGGUUCUGAUUAUGGUGACAUAUUCUCCCCUGUUGCCAAGAUUGCUUCUGUCCGCUUGCUUCUCUCCAUGGCUGCUAUGUGUUCUUGGCCUCUUUAUCAGUUGGAUAUUAAAAAUGUCUUCCUUCAUGGUGAUCUUGCCGAGGAAGUUUAUAUAGAGCAACCUCCUGGUUUUGUUGCUCAGGGGGAGUCUGGUUUAGUGUGCAGGUUACGCCGUUCUGACGACAUCGUCAUUACAAGCAGUGAUCAGGAUGGUAUUCAGAAACUAAAGCAACAUCUUUUUACCCACUUUCAGAUCAAAGACUUGGGGAAACUCAAGUAUUUCUUGGGAAUUGAGAUAGCUCAAUCCAGUUCUGGUGUGGUCAUUUCCCAAAGGAAGUAUGCUUUAGACAUCCUGGAAGAAACCGGUAUGUUAGACUGUAAACCGGUAGACACACCUAUGGAUCCGAAUGUCAAACUUGUACCAGGACAGGGGGAGCCUUUAGGAGACCCCGGGAGAUAUCGACAGCUCGUAGGUAAAUUGAACUAUCUCACCAUUACUCGUCCAGACAUUUCUUUCCCUGUGAGUGUUGUUAGUCAAUUCCUACAGUCACCAUGUGAUAGCCAUUGGGAUGUCGUAAUCCGCAUUCUUCGAUAUAUCAAAAGUACACCAGGCCAAGGUGUAUUGUACGAGAACAGAGGUCAUACUCAAGUUGUUGGUUACACAGAUGCAGAUUGGGAUAGCUCACCCACAGAUAGACGUUCCACUUCAGGGUACUGUGUUUUUAUUGGAGGUAAUCUAAUAUCUUGGAAGAGUAAGAAACAAGAUGUAGUGGCCAGAUCUAGCGCUGAAGCCGAGUAUCGAGCUAUGGCUUUGGCAACAUGUGAACUCAUAUGGUUGAGACAUUUUCUUCAGGAGUUGAGAUUUGGAAAGGAUGAACAGAUGAAACUCAUCUGUGAUAACCAGGCUGCAUUACAUAUUGCAUCCAAUCCAGUCUUUCAUGAAAGGACCAAGCAUAUUGAAGUUGACUGUCAUUUCAUUAGAGAGAAGAUCGCAUCAGGAUGUGUUGCUACAAGUUUUGUUAAUUCAAAUGAUCAACUAGUAGACAUCUUCACUAAAUCUCUCAGAGGUCCUAGGAUUAAAUAUAUUUGUAACAAGCUUGGUGCAUAUGACAUAUAUGCUCCAGCUUGAGGGGGAGUGUUGAAUAUAAUGUAUUUAUAGUAUAUUAUCUUUCCUUGUUAAUAUAGGUCACAUGUAUGGUAGUUAGGACUCCUAGCCUUGUAUAUAUAUAUCUCUCAAUUGUAAGUAAAAAACAUAUGAAUGAGAAUUAAGAUUUUUCUCCUUUUUAUCUCUUUUAACAGCUCUUUUUCGAGAAGGCGAUGGCACUAGGAGCAGCCAGCAAAUUAUAAGCAUCCCUAAUCUGAAAAGUACCAUGACCCCCUCAUUUCCAUAACACUGAGUCCUCUUUUGAAGAAAUCCUGAAGUCCCUCAGCAUAUGAAACAACUCUCCUAUCAAAUCUAGUUCCCAGUCAUUAGAAUCUCUGAAAAAUCUAAGAUUCCAACCUCCUUGACCAAGGCUUGAGUCCCACACUUCAUUGACCGUUGUGUUCCUAUAGACCGCCAAGGCAAAUAAUUGGGGAAAAUUUUGGGACAACGCCGCAUUGCCACACCAAUGAUCAGUCCAGAACUUGACCUUAGUCCCUUCACCCACCUUGAACCCUAUGUUAUCCCAACACCAAUUUGCCUCCUUCAGAAUCUCCUUCCAAACCCCUACUCCAAACGUUCCGCGAGCUUCAUUAGUCCGCCAUCCAAAUCCCUCUUGGUCAUACUUCACCCCGAUCACCUUCUUCCAAAGGAUUUCAUUUUCAAAGGCAAAUCUCCAAAUCCAUUUACCCAACAAGGCCUUGUUCAGGAGAUCAAUUUUCCGAAUGCCUAGACACCCUUUCUUCUUUUGAGUGCACACCACAUCCCAAUUGAUUAAGUGGAUUUUCCUUUCCAAGCUUCCUCCUCCCCAAAGAAAGUCUCUUUGUAAUUUUUCAAGCCUUUUUGCUACUAACUUGGGCAUUCGAAAGAGGGACAAUUGGCAGAUAGUUAUGCUGGCCAGUGUACUUUUAACGAGGGUAAUUCUCCCACCCUUAGACAUAUAUUGUCUUUUCCAAAGGGCUAAUCUUCUCCUCAUUCUUUCUUCCACCCCAUCCCACAUAGGCAAGGCCUUGUGGUGGGCUCUAAGGGGCAGCCCCAGAUAGACAGUAGGAAGAGACCCCACUCUACACCCUAACUUCACUGUCAUUUCUUCAAUAUCUUCAACCUCUCCAACUUUAAUUAAUUUGCUUUUAGCUAGAUUUAUUCUUAUACCAGAAGCCGCUUCAAACCAAGCCAAAAUCCAACUUAGAGAGGUUAGAUGCUCUUUCCUUGCUUCGCAAAAAAUGAUUGUGUCAUCAACAAAGAGCAAAUGGGACACAUUCAUCUCCAUUCCCCCUCUUCCUUAAAUUAUGCAACCUGAAAUGAAUCCCCCGUCAACAGCCUUUCUUAUAAGUGCACUUAGCACUUCCAUACCCAAGACAAAAAGGUAAGGAGAAAGGGGAUCUCCUUGACGCAGCCCCUUGAAUUGGAAAAAAAGCUUGUUAGCACCCCGUUGACCAUAACAGAAAAUUUUGCAGUUGAAAUGCACCACCAAAUCCACUCCAUCCAUCGAGAUCCAAAGCCCAUCUUGUGCAAGACCUUCAUGAGGAAAUUCCAAUUAAUGCUAUCAUAGGUUUUUUCAAUAUCCAGUUUGCAAAUCAACCAUUUCUCUUUACGUUUAUGCCAAAAAUCAAUCACCUCAUUAGCUAUGAGCGAGGCAUCCAAAAUCUAUCUGCCCCUCACAAAAGCAUUUUGAUCCACAAAGACCACCUUACCUAAGACCUUCUUCAGCCUAUUGGCCAACACAAAAGACACUUUAUUCCACUCUUUCAAUUUUGACUUGACAAACUGUAACUUCAUGAAUUUGUGACCUUUGUAUCCUUCAAACUGACACUCAAUCCACCAACAACCUAAAUUAUCCUUGGAAUCGAAAUGAAUCAACCACAUGUUUUCAAAUCUAAAAGGUGGUAUCAGCGUCCAACUAAAAGAAUUGGUGUUUAACAACAAUUGGACAAUGAUCUGAAGUCAAUCUGGGGAGUGCUUCUUUGAUACUUUGAGGGAAACCUUACUCCUACUCACUAGAAAAUAAGAAUCUAUCAAACCUUUUACAAAUAGGGUUUUCUUGCAAAUUUGACCAUGUGAAGGACACAUUCCUAAAAGGAGGAUCAAAUAACUCACAUUCUCUUAUAAAUCAUCAAAAUCCCUCAUACUUGGGCUUAACCAGGAGCCUCUUAACUUUUUGAAAUUUUUCUUAUUACAUUAAAAUCCCUAACAACACACCAUUUUAGAAAAGUUAAGCUUGAAAGAUCUUGAAGCUCCAUUCAAAAAUCAUUUCUAAAGUGUGACGAACUAGGACCAUAGAUCGAAGUUAACCAAAAAAACCCAUCAUCUUCUGACACUAAAUUGACUAUUAUUGAGAAAGACCCUGAAACAACCUCUAAGCACUUAAACCUCAAAGCAUCCCAAAAGAUUGUCACUCCUCUCGAAGCCCCACUAGUUGAGAAAACUACCCUUUUUUUUUUUUACCUUCCACACACUACUCACAAACCUCUUAUCACAAGAGUCCCUCUUUGUUCACUGCAAUAGAACAACAACUAGAUUUUCAUAGCAAAGAAAAUCCUUCACAAACCUCUUUUAUUUCUGGAACCACGAUCUCUAGUUUUCCAACCGAUGAUUUUUGUGUAUAUAAUCGCUAAUUGUAGGGAUCUUUAAUAGGGAAGUUUCUAAUUAUUUCCUUUUUUUUUUUUUUUUGUUAUUAUAUAUAACUCUAGGGCUAUAUACUUUUAAAAUGUGAAUGAGAAAUACAACUUUUCUCCACAUAGUAUCAAAGUCGAAUUAGGCUCCUUGAGAUUUCUCUUUUUAGUCUUCAUUAUUGAGUUGUAGUACAUUUUUUCCUUUGUUUUUCAAACCCUAGUUUAACAGCCUUCAUUUCCAUUUUAAAAGUACUCUACUAUAUUUUUCCCUAAAAUUAUUUUCGAAUUCUACACACCUGGUCUAAGAUUGUUGACAACUUCAACAACGUGAAUCCUCCAUUAAUAGCAAAUCUGUUCAAAACAAUGAACAAGGACACUAUUUGGUGUGCCUACCGCAAGAAGCCAAGACACACAAGGGACUAAUGCUGGAAACUCUAUUGAAAGCCUCAAACUUUGAGUAAAAAUUGGGGUUUCAAGGGUGGAUAACAAGGUUUCAAAGGUGGAUAACAAAAAACUCAGACACACUUCACCAACUCUCAUAUCAAUGAAAACUCUCUACAAGAGAGAGUGAAUUUCGGUGGCAAUGAACAUGUUGAGCUUAAUAAGGAAAAUAUUGAGAAAUUGAAGAAUCUCCAAGGUGCUUACUCCCUCGUUCAGUCAGAUAAGUAUUUUCCUUCUCUUACUUUUAGUGUCUUGGAUAUGUGGUUCCUAGGCUCUUGGAUCAUCAACUCGAGACUUACAAAUCAUAUGACUCAUUCCUUACAAAAGUUUAGUAUUUAUAGUCCAUGUCCUAGUAAUAAGAAAAUAGUCACUGUUGAUGGCUCUUUAGCUACCGUGAUUGGUCAAGGGAAAGUUCGCUUAAAUAAAUUCAUAGUUUUGAAAAAUAUGCUACAUGUACCUAAGUUUUCAACCAAUCUUGUUUCCAUUCAUUGACUUACCAAAGAACUAAAUUGUUGUUUGAUUUUUAUCCCUCUCAUUGUGUAUUUUAGGAACAUGAUACAGGAAAGAUGAUUGGACAUGCUAAGGAAAAUGAUAUACUUUACUAUCUUCAGUUGUCAUUUGGUUAAAAUAGGACUGAGAACCAAGUACUUUUACCAUUCCUUUCUGAAGCCCCAUCCACAACAAAAUAUAAGAUUUGGUUUCAUCAUCAUCGUCGCCUUUGACAUCUGUCGAUUAACGUUCUUAAAAUUAUGUUUCCUUUACUAUUCAAAGGAAUUGAUGUAGAAAAAUUACAUUGUGAUGUUUGUGAACUUGCAGAGCACUAUCAUGUUUCUUUUCCAAUAAGUAACAAAAUAGUGCCAAUUCCUUUUGCGUUAGUUCAUAGUGAUAUUUGGGGCCUUACCACAAUUCCUUAUAUUUUAUGCUAUAGAUAAUUUGUCUCAUUUAUAAAUGAUUGCACUCGAGUAACUUAGAUUUUUCUGCUUAAACAAAAAUCAAAUGUAAAUAUUGCAUUUCCCAAUUUUCACAAAAUAGUAAAAACUCAAUUUGGACUGGGAAUCAAGCAGUUUAGGUAUGAUAUUGCAAAUGAUUAGUUCAAUCAAGUCUUAUCUUUUUAUUUUUUAAAAGAAGGUAUUAUCCAUGAAUCCUUUUUGCAUUAGCACUCCCAAAAAAAAUGGGAUUGUUGAAAGAAAACACGGUCAUCUUCUUGCUAUUACAAAAGUUUUUUUUUUGUUCAAAAAAAUGUUCUUAAAUCAUAUCGGGCUACUCAUCUUAUAAAUUGGUUGCCAUCUAGAGUUUUGGGGUUCAAAAGUUCAAUAGAACUUUUUUUCAUAACACUUCCCAAACUUUACAACGUCUAUCGGUCUUGUUCCAAAGGUUUCUGGUUGUGUUUCUUUUGUUCGUGUCCAUGUUCAUAACAAAGGGAAACUAGAUCUAAGAGCAAUUAAGUGCAUUUAUGUAGGGUAUUCAUCUACUCGAAAAGGUUACAAAUGUUAUCAUCCACCCACUCAACAAUUUUAUGUCUCUUCUAAUAUAUCCUUUGUUAAACAUGAAAGCUACUUCAAUCAUCCUUAUCUUCAGAGAAAGACAUCAUUCAUGGAAGAUACGGAUAUAGGAAAUUUGUUCUUACUUGACUUACCUUCAUCUGUGUCUAAACCCUCAUAAUCACAAUCAUUUGUGUUUGAGCCUAUGUUUGAGCACUCACAAAUUCCUGAACCUACAAGUCCUAAACUUAGAAGUCCACCUCUAGGGAAACAAGUUCUUAGUUCUACAAGGUCAACUUUGGUUUACUCAAAAAAAAAAAAGAACAACCAUCAUUGAACCUGUGUAAGUCCAAGAGUCAAAACAAACCACUUCCUAUGAGGUAAAUAAUCCAUUUUCUCCUAAGAUUUCUCCUAAUUCUGUUAAUAUUAGUGAUUUAAAUCUGCCUAUUGCAAUUAAAAAAUGCACAAGAACAUGUACUCAACACCCCUUUAUAUCCAUUUUUUCAUUUUGUAUCCUACGAAAGAUUGUCAUCAUCUCAUAGAAAAUUUCUCACUAGCUUAAACACCAUAGCCAUACCUAAGACCUUAUUCGAGGCACUAAAUGGUAAGGAAUGGAAACAAGUCAUGGGGGCCGAAAUGGAAGCACUUAAAAAGAAGGGAACUUAGGAUGUGGUUGAGCUACCAAGAGAGAAGAGUCCAACAGGGUGCAAGUGGGUGUUCGUAGUAAAGUACAAGACGAAUAGUUCUCUCAAGAGAUACAAAGCCAAGCUCGACCAAAGGCCAUACUCAAACAUAUGUAGUAAAUUACCAAAAGAUUUUUGCACUAGUAGCCACGAUGAAUACUAUGAGAGUUUUACUCUCUUUGGUUGCCUAAUUUAACUAGGAAUUAUAAUAGUUUGAUGUGAAAAAUGCAUUCUCACAUGGAAAGCUUAAAUAAGAAAUUUAUAUGGAUCUUCCACCUAGUUUUAAUAUGCACUUGAAAGGGAAAAAGGUAUGUAAAUUGAGGAAAGCUUUGAAUGGGCUAAAACAAUCUCCACGGGCUUGGUUUGGAAGAUUUGCCAAAAUCAUAAUAACUGUUGACUACAAACAAAGCCAUGGUGACCACACUUUAUUUGUUAAACACUCAGCCUCAAGAGAAGUAACUGACCUAUUGGUUUAUAUUGAUGAUAUAAUAGCGAUUGGAAAUGAUCUCGAAGAAAGAGAAGCAUUGAAGCAAUGCUUAGCAAAAGAGUUUGAAAUAAAGGAGCUUGGAAGACGAAAGUAUUCCAUGGGAAUUGAAGUGGUUCACUCAAAAAAAUGAAUUUUUGUCUUCUUGACUUAUUACAAAAGACAAGACAAACAUGAUGUAAACUAGCUGACACACCUAUUGAUCUGAAUCACAAGCUUAGAGAAGUAAACGAGGAUGGAGUUAUAGACAAGGGUAUGUACCAGAGAUUGGUUACCAAGUUGAUCUACCUCUCACGUACACAACCGGACAUAGCCUAUGCAAUCAAUCUAGUAAGUCAAUUUAUGCAUAACCCAAAGGAAGUUCAUCUCCAAGCUGUAUACAAAAUCCUACACUACUUGAAAACAACUCCAGAGAAAGGAAUUUUGUUUAAGAAAAGCAAUGAGCUAUCAUUGGAGGCUUAUAUUGAUGUAGAUUACACAGGAUCAAUUGUUGAUUGAAGGUCUACUACAAGAUUGCAUUUUCCUUUGAGGGAACUUGAUAACUUGGAGGAGUAAGAAACAAAACGUUGUUGCAAGAUCUAGUGUAGAAGCGGAGUUUUGUGCAAUGGACCACGGAAUCUGUGAGUUACUUUGGCUCAAGAUUAUCUUAAAGGACUUGAAGAUGAAGUGGGAAACACCGAUAAGACUUUAUUGCGACAAUAAGUUGACCAUCAACAUUGCACAUAACUCGAUACAACAUGACACAACCAAGCAUGUGGAAGUGGACAAACAUUUUAUUAAGGAGAAGUUGGAUAGUGGCUUAAUCUACACACCAUAUGUGUCUACUGAAGGUCAAUUAGUUGAUGUUAAAGGAUUAACCAGUGUCUAGUUUCAAAAAAUCAUUAUCAAGUUAGGAUCGGAUAAUAUCUAUUCACCAACUUGAGGGGGAGUAUUGAAGAUUAUUACAAUUGUAUACACAACUAUAUAUCCUCCACAGCUGUAUAUUAUAGUUGUAAUACAUUUUGCAUGUGUAUGUUUGUGUACAUAAUCCCUGAUUGGUAGGGAUCUUUAAUAGGGUAGUUUCCAAUUCUUUCCUUAUUUUUUCUUUUCUGUUGUUGUAUAUAACUCUAGGGCUGUAUAUUUUUAAAAUGUGCAUGAGAAAUACAAUUUUUCUCCACAUUUAACAACACUAAAACCACUUAAACAACCUCAAAGCUUUUCCAAGAUAGAAAAAAAAAGACCAAAUCCUUCUUCCAUUUGCAAUUUCAUUUUCUUUGCUUGAGUUCCAACAAAGAGGCGUAGCUGCCUCAAACACAACAUGUUAAGGAUUCAUGAACAAGAAAUACAUGGAAAAGUUCACAGCUUCAACUAUAAAAUGGAAGAAUAAUGUAUUUAUAAUUGUACCUGAACAAUGAAUUUGCUAAACCGAGAAAGGGUCCAGCAAGUAAUACUUCGUAUCAAAGGAAAUUUAUCGUCUAAAAGGGGGAUGAGAAAAGCCACAAUCUGCAUGUAAGAAUUGAGUUGUCACAAUAACCUGACAUUAAUACAGUUACUUGAAAAUAUUAGAGCAACCAGAUACCUGAAGAACUAGAACAAGAUGAAUUAAACAAAGAAAUAAAGAAAAAAAGAGUGAAGUAAUCUGACAGAUGACCAGAAAUCUGCAAGAUCUACAGCAUCCACUAAUAAAGUGCAGUAAAGAGUCAAGUAUAUCAAGUGAUAAUGAGGAAGAACAAAAACACAUAUAUGAAGGUAAACAACAUCCAACAGGAACUUAGAAAAAGUAAUUAAGUGAUAAUGAAGAAGUAUAACAUGACAAGUCCAUAACAAACAAAAAUAAUCUGCUCACAUAUUAAGAAGAAUUGCAGAAGUGAGGAUAAAAAUUCCAAGAGCAUCAUGCUUGUACCAAUUUCUUUUGUAGUUCAUACAUCAUCACAGUCAAAUGCUGAACAAGGCAUAACAUUACCUCUGCCAAAUGAGGGAAAAGACCUCUAACGCAACCCUCAGCUAUGGCACCAAGGGCUAAAACUGCAGCUUCCCUUUCCUUCCAGGACCUAGCAUCUGAGGUGGAUAGCUUAGCCUGAUGUAAAAAAGGAAAAAUUGAGGAACACAAAAACAAAGCAAGAAGAUGUGAAGAAAUGAAUCAGCUAAUUGUUGAAUUCCUCCAAUAUAAAUACCCAUACUCGAAAGCUUAUUCUAACUUUGAGUAGGAUGACUAUAACAUGUUUUGCAACAGAUGCUCUGAGUAUUUCUAUACCAAGGAUGUCUAGUUAGAAGAUUCCUUAAAAACUGUGCAGCUGUUGCUUUGAGUACAAGUUCAUGAAAUGAUGUCCUGCUUCUAGAGUGGACAACUAGGUGUUGAAUUCAUCUUGACUUUCUGCUUUAUCCAAUUAAGAGCUUACUAAAACAAUAGAGAAGAACUUUACAAAGGCAACUUUAGUCCAAUUAUGAUUUAAUAAAAAAGAGAGAAAAAAAACUAUAUUCGGAGGAUGAAUAUCACCAAUAUAGAAGCGAAGGAAGGUUUGGCAAGCAAUCCCUUUGUGUUUGUUUUGGAUGGUGUGGAAGACCAAGAACAAUAUUGCUUUUUGUAAUGAGGUUUUUUCUAUUCAAAAGCUAAAAAGAGAGUUUGUUUGUUUUCUAUUGUCUAAGCUAAGUUGUUUGUCGAUGAGUGUUCACUAACUUUAGUUGGAUUUCUUGAUUGUUUGGGUACUGAUUGAGUUUGUUAAAGUUCUUUUUGUACUCUUGUGGUUGACCUUUGGUGGCAAAAGGAGGUUUGUUAUCUUGUAUACUUGGGGUCAUUUUCUGGAGGCUCUUUUCUUUAAUUUAAUUUUAUUUAUUUAUUUAUUAAAAAAAAUCACCAAUAUGGAAGUUUGAAGUAUUGGGAUUAAGCCCUAGAAAACAUGACAUGAUAUAACAGAUCGAGAUUCAUUUAUAAAUUUAUUUAUUCGUGUUUUUUGGUUUCCCUUUAUCACAUAUGCAUCAAUUGGUUAUCUGAGUAUAUAUGCCCACAUCACUUGCAUUAUACAUGACUUGGGCGUAUUAGGAAUUGUAUAGAAGAUCCAAGUCAUAGGUUCCUUGCAGAGUGAUGAGUAGUCUAUAGUCAGUUCAUGGAUUUAGGCAAUCCAUUUGAGCCUAUGGUGCACUACCUCCGAAUUGGAGGGAUGACUUGUCUUGUUCAUUGGAAUGGUUUUCCCAUGGUGAGAGCACUAGUAUAUGUGAUGCAUACUAGACAGGAUCUACGAUGAAUCAUAACAUAAGGCUAUCAAUUGUCAUGAUUCACCAAGCUACUGUACUACAUGGACUCUCAACCUUGAAAAUUGAGUUUAUGUCAAAAGUCAACAAGAGGUUUUGACCUAUGAGUAAGACUUUAAGGUGGUUACAUAUUCCUAUGAAUUGGGUCACUAUUGAUGGAAGCUGAUAACAACAAGUAUUUUCAAUAGGAGCACCAUGAUAUCUCAUGGGUUUGAGAUAAUGUAUCUCUUUAGGUGAUCCAAAAGACAUGUCAUCUAGAAGAAUAUAGUCAUAGUAUUUUCUUUAGUGGAAAUUUGACAUAUGCACUUUGGAGCUAAAAUAUGUCGAUUGAUCACAUAAUAAGUGAGAUAUAUAACUUAAGGAUUGAAGAGGUAAUUUCAAUAGGUGAGAGCACUACCUUAUUAGAUUAUAAACCUCAGUUCAUGGGGAGUCUACACAUAGUAGGUAAUAGGUCACAGACCCGAACUUCAUUUCGUUUUUAUUUAGAUAAGGUACUAGAGUGCAAUUGAUUCUUUAUAUUAGGAUGUUGAAUCAACUUUAGAAUUGGAUUGUAAGGGAGUCAAUACUCCUAUGGGUCCCAAUAAUCCUCACUCAAGCUCACCUUGGGGGCACAGUCUAUGAGAGUUGAAUUAACUCUAAGUUCACUUUUUUACAUAAGGGCAUUUUGGUAAUUACUCAAGGUUGCAUGGAGAUUAGUGAACAAAGUCUCUGGAUUAGGUUAAUUAAUUAAUUAGAUAACCUUGUGAGGUUAAUUAAUCAAUUAAGACCCACUUUAGGCUAAGAUUAAAUGACUCAGGCCCAUGUGGGCCAAAUUAAGUGAGCUCAAGUCACUUAAGCCCGUGUGAGCUCAAGUUACUUAAGCUUAAUAGGGAACCCUAUAAAUACCCCUUUAGGGGUUAGGGUUUCCAGUUAGUCGUCUUCCACCAUUCAGAGAGAAGAGAAAGAGUUAUAGUCUUCACCCUUCCAUACCUUCCUACUAAUUGAGUGUCAAGAUCAAGUUAAAGCCAUCAGGUGGAAGACCUUGGGGUAAUGAGGCAUUCUGCGGCUGCAAAUCCAUUCUUCAUCGAAAGGAAUCGAUUUGGGAAAGUCCAAAUCAGAGGUAAAACUUUCUAUUGCACAAAUCUAGUUCCUAUGAUUGUAAAAAUGUUAUUUUUGCUUCCGUUGCUUAAGAUCUAGAGACCUAGGGUAGAUUACAUUAUCCUAUAUGAUCCAGGACUUGGAAACGAAGCAAUCCGGGGUUCCCAGUAUGAAGGAUAGGCAAAAGACUGGAAAGUUUUGAGAACAUAACAAAUGCAUCAAGAUAAGUAGAGUCCACAGUUUCAGCUUCAGAAUCAUCUAAGUCAUAGGAAGAUUACCUGAACUAAAGGCAUCAAUGUUGGAAGAAUCUCAUCCCCAAACACAUCUGAAAGGAUAUCAAGACCUGCUGCACUGCAUUUUCUCAAGUUCCAAAUAUUGACAGCUUCAUCAUCCUGUAAAUGGAAUAAGUCCCCAAUACAGUUAACCAGAAAAAUUAAAUAUAUAAACCUCAGGUUUUUAAAAGGAGAAGAAAAAAAACACUACUAUUAGGUUGUAUUAUCAGAAAUCAAACCAUUCCCUGAUUGAGGAAGAUGAACAUAAUAAAGAUAAAAGAACCAUUAGAUAAAGGACCAGCAUCUGGAGAACACUAAGAAGAUUAGGCUGAAAACAUACAUCGUCCUUCAUAUCAUCUAGUCCAUGUGAUCGUGAUGAAUGGAAGCGAGGCUUCAGAUCCUGAAGAUUAAGGUUUCCAGAAAGAGAAAGGCAUCCCAACAAAAAGACUGAGAUGAACUCCAGAAUGAUAAAAUAAAGAAAUAAAAAAAAUAAAAAGACAGUAAAGAAUGAACCUGAUCUCUAUCCGGGAUAGACUCGUCCUCCUGCACAGGUGGGCAGGAAGAUUAAGCUAAACAAAUUACUAACAAUUAUUACUAUAGUUCAACAAGCAUGCAAUAGCCCUCACCUCUGCAUCAGCAAGUGACUCAUCAUCCUCAGCAUAAGCCAUAUUUGACAACAGAACCUAAAAAUGUAACAGUGAUAGAAAAUUGACUAGAAACAUUAUCUAUAAACAAAAUGAUAAAAGGAGGGGCUGAUCCCAAGUGUAUGAGUUAUACUGGAAUCAGAUGUGGUAAGAAUUCUCUUAAAAGUUCAGGAUCUAACUGCGCUUCACAGUAGGUUGACCUGCCAAUCACAGCAAACAUUAGAAAGUAAAAGCCGCCCUCUUGACCAACUAAAAAUAAAUCUGAACAUUGGAACUCUCAUUAUUUUCUGAGAGGCACUAAUUAUACAAGUGUCAGCUUCACAAGAGCUAUUGGGUCAUACUAAACAAAUGAAAAGCGGGUUUUGGAUCAGCAUCAUCAACUUUUUAGAUCAAAUUUUUGAAGGGCUAACAAGAACUAUAGAAGUAAUUCUUAAAAUCUCUUCUUUGAGAAAUCAUGCCAAUAACUAGUGUCAUCUGUGGAUCCAUUGCAUGUACUUAUCUGAAGAUAAACUGUGAAAAUUUUGAGAAAUUUAAGUAACACCACCACAUAUUCCUCAAGGGUUUGUGAUCACCAAACACUAAUGCCCCAUCAUGGGAAGACAGCAUAAAGUAAUGACACAACACAAGUUCAUUUAUGCCCCUAGCUAAGAUUGUCUUACUCAGAUAUGAAUCUAUAAGUAAACCUAGAAAUAAAGCUAUUCAAAAUAUCAGGAUAAGGGCAAAACUAAUCUUUUAUCUUUAGUGCUCAAGGCACUUUUGAUAGACAUCAAAUAUCUAAUGGAUCACAAGAAAUAACAGUGUCAAAAUUGUGAUGUUCUAAUCAUGUAAGCCACAUAGCAUGAAAGAAAAUAUGUGAAGAAAACACCUUUUACUCUUUCUUUUUUCACUGGGGGCAUCAUAAUAAAUUCCCAUGAUCAUCUAGACAACUGUAUCUCAAUAUCAAUGAAAAUCCAUUAACCAAUAAAGUUAGCCUUUGCAUCAAAUCUCAUACCUAUAUGCAACCAUAACACAACCAAUAAAAAUUUCCACCAAAAAAAUUCAUACAAAGAGUAAAGAUGUGUGGGGAUACCAAAAUUCACAAGACUCAAGAGCAACUUCAUCAUCAGCGUCCCGGUUGGCUUGCAACAUGUAUUCAAUUAUAUUCCUCAUAUGUGGCUGUCGUAUAAAGUCAAACAUCACACCAUUAAAGCAAAACAUCUUGUAAAACAUGAAAAUACAAAAAGACUUCAUAUGAGAUAAGCAAUACUUUAGAAAUCAGAUCGGUUUUUUAUAAACAAAUAAAAAUAAAUUUGAAUUUAAAGUACAAGUUACUAGACAAAAGAAGUAUUUGCCCCCUUGUACUAGAAAUUACUAGCCACAGAGAACAGGGUAAAUAAAAAUAAUUAUUGGAAUCAUAUGAAACAGAAGUAAGACUCACACCUCCAGGACAGCAGGCUGAACUUCAACCAGCUGGACAAAAGCAGCACAAACCUAUUCAAAGAUGUCUUAGUUUUAGUACAGAGAAAGCGUGAGAUCCAUAUUCAUUACAUAUAAGUUAUAACAUGUAGAUGAUCAACUCACCAAUUUUCGAAUCUCUGCAAUAGGGUCAUGAGCAAGAACAAACAAACCUUGGAGGCAUUGAUCCAUGGACAUGAAUAAAGCCUAAAAUAAAUUACAAAAUACAGUAGAUAUUCCCAUCUCCAAACCAAUAAAAUUAGGUCAGUUAGAAAGGUUAGUGUCAGUUUUCCUUACAGUGGGCAUCAGAAUAAUGAACUGAUUUAUUGAUCCCAGUGAAAGCUUCCGUAUAGAGACAUGAGGUGACUUGAAUAGCUGAUUAAAGAUGAUCAUAAUUAGAUAUGGAGAAUUUAACAAGAGCUUGCAAUCCUAUAAAAAUUGAAGUAUAGAACAUAGGAGAUGAGUAAACCUAGAUACAUAAAUAAAUAAAGAAAAACUUUUGUUACCUGGAACAAUCUGGGCAAGAAAGCAUCGAUGGGGCGUUCAGUUAAUCCAGGUAUUUCUGAAUCAAGCUCUUGUGGAAUGUCUUCACAAAUCUAAGGUCCCUCAUAUCAUAAAUAUGUCAUAUAUUUAUUUAUGGAUAAAACUGCAUAUUAUGAUGAAUCUGAUCCCAAAUUUGGCUAUUAAAAAGCUUCAAAAAGGUGAGUAAUAUCACUGCUGGGAACAUAUGUAAACAUAGAAUUACCAAGAAAACUAAUUCCCUUGAAAUAUAGUCUUAAGAAGACGAUCCACCUAUUUGAAGAUAUGGGUUUUGUUAAUCCAAACAAAAAGAUUGCUGGAGACAUGCAUACAAGGAUUCUACUCUAAAUACAAUUAAUAAUUCCAAUUCAAAAGCUUGUAGGAUUCAUUAUUCUCUUAAGAGAAAAUUGCAUGAACUUCAACCAGAAUUAUGAACUAGCAGAAGAAAAUUUGACUCAAGAAAUUCAAUGUUUUUUAUCUUUAAAAUACUCGCCAAUCUAGGAAAAGAAAUAAAAUUAAUCCACGAUUGCAGCUCUGAGAGUGAACAUCAAAUAGUUCUAGAAAAAUGUUUUAUGGUAUGUUCAUUUUCCAGUUUUAUUUUAUUUUAUUUUAUUUUUUACUUUUUUAUUUUUUUCCUUUUUGCCUUUGGAGGGAUUGGAGGGAAAUUUUGAUUAUUUGUUAUAUGAAGUACACUGCAUCCAUAUGUUGGUAAUUUGAAUUCAACAUAUGCAAUGCUUUCCACAGAAAAUUUUACUUACGUUUCUAACUGGAGCUAGUAAGCCUUAUACCCAAGUUUGAGGUUGGCUUUGUGGACGGAUGACAAUCCAUCAAGUUUUGUGACUAUUUCACAAUAGAGUCUCAAGUCUCAACAUGAUAUCAACCCUCUGUUAAUAGAUAUCAAAUUCCUUAAGCCAAAUUGGUUGAUGGAGAGGGACUCACUUGAUCCAUGACCAAGACUAUUUGACAAUUAAGAGAGUCUAUCCAAUUAGUAAUACAUCUAAAUCUCAUGAAAUCAAGGAAUAGCCUCCCAAAUUCCCUUCAGGGGAAAGGGUGCAAAAAUAAAAUGAUCAAAGGUCCAUUUUGAUGCAAGGAACUGCACUCAUCUCUUAGAUAUGUAUCUUAGCCAUAAUUUAGUUGAUCUUUCAAUUAUACUAAGAAAUAUUUGCAUGUCUUCAUAGGCAUCCACUUAAAAUAUUUUCAUAUUCUCCUAUUUAUUGAAACUAAAUUCACAAUGCUCAAAUGUAGCCAUAUGCAUCUAUUUUUGUAAUAAGAAAAAUAAAAUAAAAAUAAAAGUCAACAGGUCUAGGAAUUAGGACAUAGCAUUCUGCAUUAUUGAGGACUUCAUACACCAUCAUGCACAAAAUCCUAUGAUACCCAAAUCCUUCGAUCUCACCCCACGUAUGUGUCAACAUGACAUGACAUGGUGUGGGCAUGGGAUCUUUGCCAGAUACUCCUAUUUUACUUUGGAUAUGCCUACUUGAUUUUUCCAUUGAAAUCCUUUUAUUCUUUCAGCUUUCUUAAUAAAAAAUACAUUAGAGAAAAAAAAGAGUUAGCUGAAAAAUUCUUUCGACUUUUAUUAUGCUAUAUCCUACCCGUCCCCCUUUUUUGAAUCCUUUUUACCCAAGUCCCUACAUCCUAAAAUUUGAGUUGCGAAGUAUCAGACACUUGGGACAUAUACCUGCAUCCGACACUCAUACCUGAACCCAUGCAACAUACACAGAAUCAUGCUUCAUAAGUAUAUUUUUUUAAAGGUUUCGAAAUCCCCAAUGUGAACAAGUAAAUCAAACCAUACCUUUAAUAAAGCAGCCAGAGCACCUUCCAUAAGGUUGAGGUCAUUACUAUCCAAGCAAUGCACAAGGGCUUGCAACAAUUCCGGCCAACCAAAAAUUCUUCCUUGUUGGACAAUAACAGUAAUAAUUGUCCCAACUGUAGAUCUUAUGUGCUUAUCUGCCGCUCCUAAACAAGGCAACAAUUCUGAUUUUAUAUACUGUUGAUGUGCAGGAUCUAAAGUUCUGAAAGAACUUCUGAGAUUAUUUUUCAGCAGUAGACCAGCUGCCUGACGAAUUUCAACUGAUUUGCCCUGUUUAAAAAGGUAAAAUUCAAUAGAAAAAAAUUAACAUAGGAUUAUGAUGAUACAUACUGAAAAAUGGAGAGUUCUUAGAGUCUUCUUUUUAGAUAUAUAAAGCAUGAAAAGUACAAAUAAAUACUGUAGCAAUUUCUGUGGCUGUUUAGAUAACCAAUAAAAAUUAAAUGUCGUUGCCUUCUUUGCAUAACAAUUUAUAAUGAGAUUCAUUAUUACAAUCUAGAGAAUUAAAAGAAAAUGUGAGCCAUCAUUGCGAUGGAUCCAUUCUAAAUUUUCAACACAAUUGCUAUAGCUGCCAUGUCCUUAAAUUUUCAACACAAUUCCUAUAGCUGACAUGUCCUUUAACAGCCCCAUUAAAUCCCCUAUAUAAAACACGGAUUGAGAAAUUCAAAUUUUAUUCUGCAUGAGACAUACUUUAACUAUCCAUCAACCAAAAUAGGAAGAUGGUAAGUAAAUCACAAUGAAAAACACCAAUGACAUGUUAAUCACUGCAAUGAUCAGAAUAAGGAAAAAAGUGAAUCAAGAGACAUUAAUAAUUGUCUACACUGCCAGCACUCAAUUGAAGUGCUCUAGUAGACCUUCAAGAUUUGAAGAAAAAUUGCUCUGAAUUAAUUCCACCCCCGAAGCCCACUUAUAGAGAAAAAUGACAAUGUCGGUGAGAUAUGGUCCAACCCAAUUCAGAAUAAACAUGCAACUUCUUUCUCACAAAAAAAUAAAUAAAUAAAAUAAAAAUAAAAAUUAAAAAUUAAAAAAAAUCAGAAAAAUAAAAAUAUAGUGUCAAAGCGCAUGGCAGUGAUUCAAUUCUAAUCACUUCCUAACAUUUUCUUUUCUUUUCCUUUUCUUCCCUUCCCUUUUCCUUUUCUUUCCAUGAACCAAACGGAUCCAAUCUUUCACAUAAAAAAUGCAAAAACAAAAACCAAAACACCGAUCUUUAUCGUCAAUGGCAAUUCCAAACCACCCAAUCCUACAAACACGAUCAAAAUUCCAUCAUUCAUUACCUCCGCAUGGGCAAAGAUGAAGGCGAGAUAGUUAUUGAAAUCAGAGAAUUGUUUAUAAUGUUGAAGCUGUUUCCAAAUCACAGACUUAUCCGAAGUAGGAGAAAUGUGUUGUUCCAGCAAACCGCAUAUCUCUCCGAGACCUUCCUCCUGUGGCCGCCAAGCCAUUUGCCGAUACAGCAAAAGGAUUGAGUUAGGGUUUUGGAAACUGAGAUUGAAUUCAGAUGUUCGAAUUGGGGAUAACGAAGAUAGUGAAGUGUUGGUGAGAAGAAGACGACGAUCAAUGCCUAGUUGUCAUGACUGUAGAAAGAAGUAUUUUGAGUUGGGUGUCCAAGUGUUGCUCGUUGAAACUAGAACGUUAUGACCAGACUGCCCCUGUUUUCAUUUGCUUUCCUUCUUCGGUUACGUUUCAGAAUCUUGAAAUAGAGUGCUUUUUUAAUUUUUUUCAAAAUUUGAACCGACCGGCUUUAUCUAACUACCACAUAUUUUACGGUUCUUGAUACGGUAAUAUUUUGAUUUGUCUUUUAGUAAUAUGACCGCCUGCCUCACACUACGCUUUUCUAUUUUUAGGUUUUUUCUUUUUUUAAAGUCCUCUAAAUUUUUGUACAAUUUUUUUUAAACAAAUUAAAAUAAAUAAAUUUAAAAUUUUUAAACAUUUGAUGAAGUAAUUUUUUUUCAAGUAAAUAAGAUAUUUAUUUACUUUUUGGUAUAUAAAUUCUUAUAUUUUAUAAUUUUAAAUAUUUAUUAUAUGCAAAUAUUUUCAAAUAUUAAAGAUUCAUAAAUUCUUUCAAUGAGAAAAAAUGAUUAAAAUUUAAUUUUGAUGAAAAAAUAAAAACUACUUGUUUAAAAAAAUUAAAAUAAAUUCUUAUAUUUUAUAUAAAUAAAUUUAUUUUUUAAAUAGAUAUUUAUUAUAUGCAAAUAUUUUCAAAUAUUAAAAGUUCAUAAGUCGAGAAAAAUAAUUUUGACAAAAAAAUCAAAAAUAAAAUUUUAAUUUUUUAGCAAAUUCAAAUAAAUUAUUUUAAAUUUGUUAAAGAUUAUGAAGUGCCAUUUUUCCAAGUAAAUAAGGUAUUAUUUACUUUUGAUAUAUAAAUUCUUAUAUUGUAUAUAACUGUUUUUAAUUUAAAAAAUAAAUUUAAAACAAUUAUUAUAUGCAAAAAAAAAAAUCAAAUAUUAAUAAUUCAUAAGCUCUUUCUGAUGAAAAUGAUUAAAAGAUAAUUUUGAGGGGAAAAAAAAAAAGUGGAUCUUCAGGAUAUUUUAAGAUGAAAUCAUACUAAAAUACUUUGACUCAUAUAUCAUGGCUAAAUGAAUGAGAAUUUGAGCAAGAUGACUAAUGUUAUAAUAGGAAUUGUGAUGGGAAAAAACCAAUCAUCUAUUUCAAAAAAUUUAAUUGAAAGUUGGUUUUAUAAGUAUUUAAUUAAUUUAUAAAUUAAUAUAUAAUUACAGGUAGUGUUUAAUUUUUUAGCUUAAUUUUAAAUGAAACUCAAAAUUAAUUUUUUUUAAUAUUUUAUUUCUAUUAAGUAUUAGUAAAUAAAGAAAAAGUGGUGGUAUUUUUUUUUUUUUUCAUAAUUCUAAAUAGAAGUUAAACUUAAAUAAUAUUUAAUAGUAUUAAGUAUUAAGUUGUUUAUUUUUAUGAUGUUUUAUUUAUAUUAAGAUAAAAUAUAAUAUGUUAAUUUUUCUAUUUAAAAAAAGUUAAAAAUUUAGAUGUUUUCUAUUAAAAAAAAUUGUAAUAAAUAAUGAAAAAAAAAACAAUUUAAAAGUUUGGAAACAAAUUGUUUUCAAAAAAAUGUUAAAAAAUAAACACCUUUAGCAUAUUGUUUUGACUUUUUUUUAUUGAAUAAGAAUUUUUAAGUAAUAAAUUAACAAAUAGUAAAAAAAAUGAUUUGAAAUUUGAAAAUAAGUUAUUUUCAAUAAAAAGUUAAAAAAUAAAUAACACUUUAAUUGUAGGUUUGCAAAUGUGCAAAGUUCAUCAUGGCUUUUAUGUGUAUGAUUUUUUAUAAACGAUUUUACAUUAUAUUAAUUAUUUUUAUAUAUUUUCUUGAUUUUGUUAGAUGACGAGGAUCUUAUUAUAUUCGCGCUUGUAUUUUAAGUUAAAACAAAAUUAUAAGUAAUUUAAUAUCAUAAUUAGAUGUUAUAGUUGAAUAAAACUAAAAGACAAAGUCAAUAAGAAAAUUAUAUUACAAUAAAACCUAUAUAUGUUUAAAGCAGUUUUUCUUUUUUUCUUUUUUCAUUUUAUUUUGAAUGACUGAGAUUUAAUAUCUUUCAUCCAAUGACUACAAAAAAUCUAAGGCAUGGUACCUCCCUCGGCACCAUAGAAUUUUCCUAUAAAAAAUUGCACCAAUACCACCUAUACCUCUUUAAAUGCGGGCUAGGACAUCAUUUUAAGUCAUGACUAAUAUACUUUAGUAUUUUAAAAUGAGUUUCAUUACCAUAUAUUUGGGGUCUCAGAUUGCAGAUUUUUUACCUGGUUUGCCAGCUCGGAUAUAAAAUUGGUGAAAACAUGCAGGUGAUGAUCUGGAUGUGAACAAAGGAUGGUCCGAAACCCUUUAAGUUCGACCCAAAAAAAGACAAAAAACGACUCGAAGUUCACUCACAGACUUAGUGGUUAGACUUGAGAGGUGGAUUUUAUUUUGUAUUUAUAUAUUUGUUCAUAUGACUUCAACUCAAAGCCCAAUUCCUAGAUGCAACCCAAAAGCUUAAAGCAAGCACAGUCUCCACCUAAUUCACAAAUUGCACCUUUUUAAAUUUUCAUAUGAUCAUUUUCACCAUCUUUCUUAUAUUUUCAAUUAUACAAUUUAAUGAUGGCGAUAAUGAUAAUAAUGCACGAAUGUACAUAAUUUGAAUUCAUUUUUUACAUUUCUAUCUAUUAUUUUCUAAAUAAACUUGUUCAAAUUUUCUUAUCAAUAAUAAAAAUAAAAAUGAAACGAGGAUUUACUAUUCUAUAUAUACUUUUUUUAAUUGAAUAUUCUUAAUUUGAAAUUUAAAAGCAUUGAAUUGAAGUUCUAGUUUAAUUUUAGCUAAUAUGUUAUCAUUUGUUCUAUAGCACUCAAAUUUAAUAAUUUUUUUUCUUUAUUCAACGUUUUUUAAUGUUAUUUUUAUAAUUCUAUUGUGAUAUAAGAUUAAUUAUACCAAAACAAACGCCAUUAUUCAUCAAUCGAGUAUUGGAAUUUCCUGCAUUAGGUUGAAAUUUCAUAAUCCGCGACUAGAAUAGGAUAUUCGGUGCAGCCAAGCAGGCCGAGAGAAAGGCUUCCUCCUUCACAUUCCAAGGCCGGUCGCCAAAACCAUGUGCCACACACAGGCACGCAGCCGCCGAAAUGCAAGCCAUGGCACAUUCAAAGUGACAGAAAGCCCCUUUAUUGCACAGUCAACCUACAGAAUGGAAGGGUAAUUUAGUCAUUUAAUAUUCUGCAAAAUUGAAAAUGAAAAACGGGGAUCCAAUGGGCGCUGCUCUUUAAAAGACCGGGCGCUUACAGGUAGUUAUUCAAAAUCUACAUAUUUAGAUACCGACGCUCUUGCUUGGAAGAUAGGGUCCUCUUGCAUUGGAAGUUAGGGUUUGGAGCUGCAACAAUGGCGAAAGGGAGGUAUUCUAGGGGACAUGGCAAGAGGUGGUCGACAUUAGCGCUCGUUCUUUCGCUGCUUCUUAUGCUAACAGUUGUUCUGCUCAUGCUUCUCGCUCUCGGAAUCGUCUCAUUGCCGAUCGGCACGGUAGAUUCCGAUGCGGCCAACGAUCUGAGCUCUUUCAGGCGCAAGACGUUCGAUGGGUAUUAAUUUAUUGUGAUUUAGAAACUAAUCUGUUUGAGACUUGCGGUGAUUUAUUAUUGUAGUUUUAUGUGGUCGCAGAGGUGAAGGAUUGGGGAAGAGAGGAGAGCAGUGGACGGAAAUUGUCUCCUGGGAGCCCAGAGCUUUCAUUUAUCACAAUUUCUUGGUGACUGCUUCUAUCCAUGUUUUAUUUUUCUUUCCGUUUGCUACAAUUUCUAUGCAUGAGGCUGGAAAAUCAAUCAUCUUGUAUUUGAUUUGUGGGCCAUGUAGCUGUGAUUGUGAUCUCGGUGUGUCCAAUUCAAGAUUCCUUGCAAUUAGGGUAGCUAGUUCAUGUUUUUGAUCACGCAAAUGGGGACUGCAUCUUACAUUUUAUGUGAAUAUUUUUUUCUUGCAGCAAUUGGAUGACGAUCUAGAAAGAUAUGUCAAUGGAUGCGAACUAUUUGAGUGAAUAUGCCAGAAAGAAUAACUUUACUGGUGAAAAUGUGUGAACUGAGAGAAUUUUGUUUGUUUUUCAAUCUCUUUUAGGAUUGUACAAAGAAUUGUUUGUUUUUCAAUCUCUUUUAGGUUUGUACAAAGAAUUGUGUUCUCCAUUGAACUGCUGUCCUCUGGUUGGCAGCGAAGUGUUAGGCACUGAACUUGAGGACAAUGUGGCCCAGAUGCAGAGAGGCGGGGGGGGGGGGGGGGGGGGGGGGGGGGGCCCCCAACCCUUUUUUUAAAUAAAAAAAAAAACCCCUUCUUUAAAGAAAAAAAAUUUUUUUUCCCCCCCCCCAAGGGGGAAAAAACUUUUUUUAAAAAUUCCCCCAAAAAAAAUUUUAAAAAUUUUUUUUCAAAAAACAAAAAAAAACCAAAAGGCCCCCCCUUUUUUCCAAAAAAAACAAAAAAAAAAACCCCCCCCUUUUAAAGCCCGGUUUAAAAAAAUUAAAAACCCCCAAAAAUUAUUUCCCCCCAAAAAAACCCUUACCCCACCAUAAUUUAUUUAUAAUUUUUGGAAAAAUUUUCACCCUCUUCCCCCCUUCCCAAAAAAAAAAACCCCCCAAAAAAAAAAAAANNNNNNNNNNNNNNNNNNNNNNNNNNNNNNNNNNNNNNNNNNNNNNNNNNNNNNNNNNNNNNNNNNNNNNNNNNNNNNNNNNNNNNNNNNNNNNNNNNNNUUUGUUCACAUCCAGAUCAUCACCUGCAUGUUUUCACCAAUUUUAUUUCCGAGCUGGCAAACCAGGUAAAAAAUCUGCAAUCUGAGACCCCAAAUAUAUGGUAAUGAAACUCAUUUUAAAAUACUAAAGUAUAUUAGUCAUGACUUAAAAUGAUGUCCUAGCCCGCAUUUAAAGAGGUAUAGGUGGUAUUGGUGCAAUUGGGGGGGGGGGGGGGGGGGGGGGUUCCGACAUCUUUUGGUUAGUUAGAUUAGGUAACUCUUUCUGUAGGGUAAGAUAGUUUUAUUUCCUUAUCCAUGAGUGGGAUAAACGUGUCUUGACAAUUUCGCGACAAAAGUAUUUCAAAAUUUGAUGUCAAUAAGUCAAUAAAAUCACAUGAUGCCUACGGUUCAUUCCAAUAAGUCAGUAAAGAGGUAGCUCUCUCUUUAUGGGUCUGGUUGAGAUAAUUGAUAUGCCUACAAUGUUAUGUUGCCUCUUAUGAUACCUUUAGCUAGCUAACAUUGAUUUAUAUUUGUUGAGAUAUUUAUCACGUUCAUUCCACUUACACGAAUUAUAUACAUCUCUAAGUGAUGAUAUAUUGACUUCCAUGUACUUUUUUGGACAGUCCAAGGAAGAAUGUGAGUACAUGAUAAGUCUUGCCAAACCUUAUAUGAAAAAGUCAACUGUUGUUGAUAGUGAAACUGGUCGGAGCAAAGAUAGCAGGUUUGCAUAUUCUCCAUUCUACCAUUUUUGCAGAUUCAUUCAAAUAUAGAAGAGGAUGGUCUUCUAUUUACAAUGCAUUACUUUAUUCUUACUCUUGGCAUUGUUAUUAACAGUUUUAUUACCCUAGUCAUAUUUAAAACACUUGACAUCUCUUAUUUGCAGGGUGCGUACCAGUUCUGGAAUGUUUUUGAGGAGAGGGCGAGAUAAAAUCAUCAGGGACAUAGAGAAAAGAAUAGCUGACUUCACUUUCAUUCCCGUAGGUACAAGAACCAAAGCAUAAUAUGAAAAACCUAGAAUUUCUUUACCAGGGACAUAGAAAGGAUUAGUAUACUUUACUUUCAUUCCCAUAGAGUGCAAGAAUCAAAGAGAUUACAUGAAACAAACACAUUGCAUCCACCAAGAACCUCAUAUUCACCAUCCAUCCUACCAAGUAUCAGAUAAACUUCAACCAUAGUUUUAAAAGGUGUGUUUAAAGCGCUCCUAGGUCCAAGGCACAACCUACCCUAGUUGUAGUGCCUCUCUUGUCAAUACAUACGCCUUGUUGAAGAUGUGCACCUUAUCUACUUUAUUUUUCUAAUUGUAUAUUGAAAUUUAUAUAAUUUCAGUACUUUUUUUUUUUGUUAAAAGCUUCUUUUAAAUGUUUGAAAUGUUAAAUUUUUUAUUGAUUGGAUUAUAUUUUAUAAAAUUAAUAUGCAUUUUAGGUCAUGUUUUACAUCACUCAGGCAUGUGCCUUGCACCUAAGCUAUAGGAGAUUGUUGCACCUUAGGUGCGCCUUAGGCCUUUUAAAGCUAAGCCUAGGACUUGAAUUUGGGACCUUUUCUUGAAUGGAGUGAUUUCCAAUUUGAGUUUUUGGGGUGGACCAUAUUCUAAACCUCUUCUAUUUCUCUCUGUUAAUUAUGUUUUUUAUAAUCAUGUGUUUGAAAGUUUUAAUGAAGAUAGAACAUAGAAAUUUUACAUUAGAAACAUUUAUGUGCUGAGGCAUCUACAAAUGUAGAUUUGUCUAAUUACAAUUAGUGCUUCAACCUUUUUUUGAUAGGCAAAGAUAGAAUAUAUUAAAAGUGCCUAAUAGAAGGGCGCAUAUAGAUAUACACAUUGUAUAUAAAGACGCCAAAAGUUCAAAUGAUGCUAAGGGAAAAUGCAAAAAACAACUCCUUCACCUCACUUUGAGUUCAGCUAAUCGAUGAAGUCCAACAUGGACAAAGAACCAUCACCUACGUAGAUUAUUAUCCACUCCAAAAAAUAUAUAUGAAGAAAUGCUUGUUUGUUUGGUCUUCUUUUUCAACAUUUUCAAAAGCUCUCCUAUUCCUUUCUUUCCCGAUGGUCUAGAAUAAACACAAUUAGUGCUUGCAGCUGUUAAUGAGUUUUUGAUUUUUCAUUCAUACAGUUAAAUGGGUUUCCAACUCAUGAUACUUUAUGUAUAAACUCUGCCUAAUUGUGGUAUCGCAUGGUCAUUUUGAAGCUUGUUGGGUAACUCUCUGGGAGAGAGUGAUUUUCUGAACAAAUAUGUAGUCAAUCAAGUUUCAAAAGCAAUUGUUUUCCUUCCAAACGAACAUGAUUUCCACUUGUGAAUUAUAAUAUUGCUAUUAGAGUGGCAUUUGUUUGUAGAUAUCUUAUUCAUUAAUUAGUGCAUGAGACAACCAAAUACAUUCUGCAUUGCAACUGUGGGUGGGGCCAGAUGUAAAAAAUUUAAGCUUAUUAUUCUUCAGAUUCAUCAUGAAUAUGUCCUGAAAUUGCUUGAUCUUUUUCGUAUUAUAUUGCCUUUUGAUCCUUUCUCUUUCACAAUUAAAAGGUUAUAAUUCCCUGCGACUUGUGUUUUGUGUGCUCCAUUUCUGUUUUUCAUUUUUUGUCCCCUUUAAGAACAGUAAAUCUUUUCAAUUAGAAGGCAUUGUAAGAGGGCUAGUUUCAUCCUUUUUUUUUUUUGGUAUGGUUGUCACAGUUCCAAAAUGUGUAUAUGCUGCUCUUUUUUAUUCUGUUUGCAUGAACAAUGCCUUGAUUUAGCAUUAAAGAGAGCUGCAGUAUCUAUAUAACUCUUGUAUUUUUUAAAUAAAAACUUAUAAUAUGGAUUCUCUAAUGGUAUAUUUGAACUGUUCGGUUAGGUGAAUUGUUUGGUGUUAUAAUUGUCACAAAAAU